RNAcentral lists this ribosomal RNA (231 nucleotides) under uncultured bacterium. RNAcentral describes it as "partial 16S ribosomal RNA". It matches the Rfam family "Bacterial small subunit ribosomal RNA", at positions 15 to 244 of the family's 1533-position model. The record is from RNAcentral.
GUUCCUCGCUCAGAUUGAACGCUGGCGGCAUGCUUUACACAUGCAAGUCGAACGGCAGCACAGGGAGCUUGCUCCCGGGUGGCGAGUGGCGCACGGGUGAGUAAUACAUCGGAACGUGUCCUGUUGUGGGGGAUAACUGCUCGAAAGGGUGGCUAAUACCGCAUGAGACCUGAGGGUGAAAGCGGGGGAUCGCAAGACCUCGCGCAAUUGGAGCGGCCGAUGCCCGAUUAG